GACGAACCGUCCAAACGUUAUUCGGAAUUACUGGGCUUAAAGGGUGCGUAGGCGGCUCUGCAAGUUGGGUGUGAAAUCCCUCGGCUCAACCGAGGAAUGGCGCCCAAAACUGUGGAGCUCGAGGGAGACAGAGGUGAGUGGAACUUGUGGUGGAGCGGUGAAAUGCGUUGAUAUCACAAGGAACACCGGUGGCGAAAGCGGCUCACUGGGUCUCUUCUGACGCUGAGGCACGAAAGCUGGGGGAGCGAACGGGAUUAGAUACCCGGGUAGUCCCUGA
This 277-nucleotide ribosomal RNA is filed under the name uncultured prokaryote. RNAcentral describes it as "partial 16S ribosomal RNA". It matches the Rfam family "Bacterial small subunit ribosomal RNA", at positions 524 to 800 of the family's 1533-position model. The record is from RNAcentral.